CCCCCUAAAUGUUUCCUUUGUGGGUUUUAAAAGUUUUAGCGAUGGCCGCGCCCAUGCCCCCGCAAGAUAUUUCAUCGAUUGUUUUAUAGCGGGUACGGACCUGCGGGAUUUUGUCUCUUUUAUCAUCCGGAUCUAUCUCUCAUCGUAGCCACUCCUCUAUCUCCCUCUCUCUCUCUCUCUCUCUCUCUCUCUCUCUCUCUCUCUCUCUCUCUGUCUCCGUUUAUUUACACUGCGGAGAAAAAUAGAAGAAAGACAGAAAUACCAUAUCGCAUGCGCAUGGCCGAUUGGAAUAGAGUUAAUUUUACGCGGAUCCUGUUGUGUUGAGAACACGAUAUUUAUAUACUUCUUGCAUUCAACACGUUUAUCCGUGAAAAAUACAACGAUGAUCCGGACGUUUGAAUGGGAUACUACGGAUAAUCGAAGAGUGUACAGGGCAAUUUUUUACUGCUUUUUUUUCGCGUGUCCUCCAACAGUUUUCUUCGCCAAGUUGGGUAGUAAGCAGGUCCAUGAUCUGUCGUUUGCAAUGCAAGGAAGGAGAAAUAAGAGAGCGUAACAAAGCCUCUUUUCCAACUCUCCCUGUCGCGUUCAACGGCCGUUGAAUAAGGCAAUAUCCCCAGGCUUGAUGCCCGUUUUGCACGAACAAGGGCCUUGUUAUUACAUAGGAAAAAUUGCUGGACCCGCGUUUUCUCUUCUCCUCUUUUUUUUUUUUAUUUUUUAUUAUCUUUUUUUUUUUUUUCCCAAUGUUGUCUAGAAAAGCUCAUUUUCAAACGGCAACUCUUUUAUCCCCCCUGAAACUUCAUAUACGUUCUCUUGUAAAGAAUUUCUUUACAGAGUAUAGAAGCGAUUUUUCGAUUUCUCUCCAUUCCAUUUUAUAUAAUAUGUUUUUAAUUACACUGUGUGUUUAUCGCAUCUUCAAACGUGUUGAAUGUGUUCAAUCCCAACGACUUAAUUCUUUUCUUUUUAAUGAUAUUAUCUGAUAUAUAUACACAAAGUAAUUUAGUUAUUAUAAGAAACGAACGAUUAAUCACCGAGGAAGUGCACAAGAUACAGAAGAUAUCUUGAUACAAACGGAAAGUAUAAGCGUUAUAAAAACUCUUCUCUUAGAAGAAUAAUAUAUCCAUUUUAAUAUUUCCAUGUCCAACGUAUGGACAUUAUAAUUUCUUCUUUUCUCUUUUAAUCUGUUUUUACAGUGUUUUAUUGGGAACAACAUUAUUAUGAGCAAGUUGCUUCACGUAUAAUUAAACUGUUCUGCAACAUGUAAUAAAGACGUCGUUGACGGCACGUGCUGCUCAUGUUGAAUUUAAUUAAGGAAUUCAUGAAAAUGAUCUGUUAUUACACGCACGAUCCAUGAAUCGAUAAUGAAUAAAAACAAUAUCCUUUUUCUACUGGAUCAGUUCAAGUACUAUCUCUAAUUUUCUUCUUCUUCUUGUGAAUUCGACGUAUCUUAGACGAGUACGUAUCGUCGCAAGCAUUUCGUCGAGGCAUAGA
Molecule: long non-coding RNA, 1488 nt
Organism: Apis mellifera (honey bee)
Lineage: Eukaryota; Metazoa; Arthropoda; Insecta; Hymenoptera; Apidae
Exons: 2
Source: RefSeq, a predicted model, not a curated record